AAGCUGAAAAUAUUAUGAAAAAAAAUCAAUUGCUGGCAAUUCUUACAAAAGCUCAACAAAUACAAGAUGAGGAGUCGAAACAGAAAAUUGAAAUUGCAAGAAAAAGAUGGCAGCUAUUGAAUAAUAUAACUCUAGCUAUUGAACUUCAAAAAGAAGAAUUAAAGAACAAAA
This is a non-coding RNA of Parasteatoda tepidariorum (common house spider), 171 nucleotides long. Lineage: Eukaryota; Metazoa; Arthropoda; Arachnida; Araneae; Theridiidae. The record is from RefSeq and is a predicted model, not a curated record.